RNAcentral lists this unclassified non-coding RNA (335 nucleotides) under soil metagenome. RNAcentral's name for it is "partial contains 5.8S ribosomal RNA, internal transcribed spacer 2, and large subunit ribosomal RNA". The stretch from base 1 to 120 matches the Rfam family "5.8S ribosomal RNA", at positions 35 to 154 of the family's 154-position model. The record is from RNAcentral.
GAUGAAGAACGUAGCGAAAUGCGAUAAGUAGUGUGAAUUGCAGAAUUCAGUGAAUCAUCGAAUCUUUGAACGCACAUUGCGCCCUUUGGUAUUCCUUAGGGCAUGCCUGUUCGAGCGUCAUUUAAACCUUCAAGCCCUGCUUGGUGUUGGGUGCCUGUCCCGCCUCCGCGCGUGGACUCACCUCAAAUCCAUUGGCGGCCCCCGCACGGCCACGAGCGCAGCAGAAACGCAAACUCGUGCCCCGACCGGGCAGCUCCCAGAAGCUACACUCACCAUUUUGACCUCGGAUCAGGUAGGGAUACCCGCUGAACUUAAGCAUAUCAAUAAGCGGAGGA